Molecule: ribosomal RNA, 426 nt
Filed under: uncultured bacterium
Lineage: Bacteria
Description: partial 16S ribosomal RNA
Rfam family: Bacterial small subunit ribosomal RNA
Source: RNAcentral
GUGGGGAAUCUUGCGCAAUGGGCGAAAGCCUGACGCAGCCAUGCCGCGUGGAUGAUGAAGGUCUUAGGAUUGUAAAAUCCUUUCACCGGUGAAGAUAAUGACUGUAGCCGGAGAAGAAGCCCCGGCUAACUUCGUGCCAGCAGCCGCGGUAAUACGAAGGGGGCUAGCGUUGCUCGGAAUUACUGGGCGUAAAGGGAGCGUAGGCGGACAUUUAAGUCAGGGGUGAAAUCCCGAGGCUCAACCUCGGAACUGCCUUUGAUACUGGGUGUCUUGAGUGUGAGAGAGGUGAGUGGAACUCCGAGUGUAGAGGUGAAAUUCGUAGAUAUUCGGAAGAACACCAGUGGCGAAGGCGACUCACUGGCUCAUUACUGACGCUGAGGCUCGAAAGCGUGGGGAGCAAACAGGAUUAGAAACCCCGAGUAGUCC